RNAcentral lists this microRNA (22 nucleotides) under Cordylochernes scorpioides. The record is from RNAcentral. Lineage: Eukaryota; Metazoa; Arthropoda; Arachnida; Pseudoscorpiones; Chernetidae.
AGCCUGAACCGUUGACUCAGCC